GAUGAAGAACGUAGCGAAAUGCGAUAAGUAAUGCGAAUUGCAGAAUUCAGUGAAUCAUCGAAUCUUUGAACGCACAUUGCGCCCUUUGGUAUUCCUUAGGGCAUGCCUGUUCGAGCGUCAUUUAAACCUUCAAGCCCUGCUUGGUGUUGGGUGCCUGUCCCGCCCCCGCGCGUGGACUCACCUCAAAUCCAUUGGCGGCCCCCGCAAGGCCACGAGCGCAGCAGAAACGCAAACUCGUGUGCCCGGCGGGCGGCUCCCAGAAGCUACACCCACCAUUUUGACCUCGGAUCAGGUAGGGAUACCCGCUGAACUUAAGCAUAUCAAUAAGCGGAGGA
This 335-nucleotide unclassified non-coding RNA is filed under the name soil metagenome. RNAcentral's name for it is "partial contains 5.8S ribosomal RNA, internal transcribed spacer 2, and large subunit ribosomal RNA". The stretch from base 1 to 120 matches the Rfam family "5.8S ribosomal RNA", at positions 35 to 154 of the family's 154-position model. The record is from RNAcentral.